This 253-nucleotide ribosomal RNA is filed under the name uncultured bacterium. RNAcentral's name for it is "partial 16S ribosomal RNA". It matches the Rfam family "Bacterial small subunit ribosomal RNA", at positions 524 to 776 of the family's 1533-position model. The record is from RNAcentral.
UACGUAGGGCGCAAGCGUUGUCCGGAAUUAUUGGGCGUAAAGAGCUCGUAGGCGGCCUGUUGCGUCCGCUGUGAAAUCCCGGGGCUCAACCCCGGGCCUGCAGUGGAUACGGGCUGGCUGGAGGCAGGCAGGGGAGAACGGAAUUCCUGGUGUAGCGGUGAAAUGCGCAGAUAUCAGGAGGAACACCGGUGGCGAAGGCGGGUCUCUGGGAAGUAACUGACGCUGAGAAGCGAAAGCGUGGGUAGCGAACAGG